This 491-nucleotide ribosomal RNA is filed under the name uncultured bacterium. Its description in RNAcentral is "bacterial SSU rRNA". It matches the Rfam family "Bacterial small subunit ribosomal RNA", at positions 30 to 507 of the family's 1533-position model. The record is from RNAcentral.
UUGAACGCUGGCGGCAUGCCUAACACAUGCAAGUCGAACGGCAGCAUGGUAAGAGCUUGCUCUUACUGAUGGCGAGUGGCGGACGGGUGAGUAAUAUGUAGGAAUCUACCUAGAGGUGCGGGAUAACUUAGGGAAACUUAAGCUAAUACCACAUAAGCCCUACGGGGGAAAGCAGGGGAUCUUCGGACCUUGCGCCUUAUGAUGAGCCUACAUCGGAUUAGCUUGUUGGUGGGGUAAAGGCCUACCAAGGCGACGAUCCGUAGCUGGUCUGAGAGGAUGAUCAGCCACACUGGGACUGAGACACGGCCCAGACUCCUACGGGAGGCAGCAGUGGGGAAUAUUGGACAAUGGGCGAAAGCCUGAUCCAGCAAUGCCGCGUGUGUGAAGAAGGCCUUAGGGUUGUAAAGCACUUUCAGUGGGGAGGAAGUUGAGUUUGCUAAUAUCAGAUUCAAUUGACGUUACCCACAGAAGAAGCACCGGCUAACUCUGUG